AACGAACGCUGGCGGCGUGUCUUAAGCAUGCAAGUCGAGCGGCAAGCGCAGCAAUGCGCCUAGAGCGGCGGACUGGUGAGUAACGCGUGGGUGAUCUACCUCGGGGUUGGGGAUAGCCAUUAGAAAUAGUGGGUAAUACCGAAUACGCUUGUCGGGCUUCGGUCCGAUAAGGAAAGGCGCUGCGGCGCCGACCGGAGAUGAGCCCGCGUCCCAUUAGCUAGGUGGCGGGGUAACGGCCCACCAAGGCGAUGAUGGGUAGCCGGCCUGAGAGGGUGUACGGCCACACUGGGACUGAGAUACGGCCCAGACUCCUACGGGAGGCAGCAGCUAAGAAUAUUCCGCAAUGGACGAAAGUCUGACGGAGCGACGCCGCGUGGAUGAUGAAGGCCGGAAGGUUGUAAAAUCCUUUUGUCGGGGAAGAAUAAGCGUGGGAGGGAAUGCCCGCGCGAUGACAUGAACCGGCGAAUAAGCCCCGGCUAACUACGUGCCAGCCGCCGCCGUAA
RNAcentral lists this ribosomal RNA (503 nucleotides) under uncultured bacterium. Its description in RNAcentral is "partial 16S ribosomal RNA". It matches the Rfam family "Bacterial small subunit ribosomal RNA", at positions 29 to 523 of the family's 1533-position model. The record is from RNAcentral.